Podarcis lilfordi (Lilford's wall lizard) is the source of this 74-nucleotide non-coding RNA. NCBI's taxonomy places the organism in Eukaryota, Metazoa, Chordata, Lepidosauria, Squamata, Lacertidae. The record is from the annotation of a GenBank genome assembly.
GUACUGGAUAGCUCAGUUGGUAGAGGAUGAGACUCUUAAUCUCAGGGUUGUGAGUUUGAGUCCGAUAUUGGGCA